AUUGGGAUAGCUACGCGAAAGUGUAGGUAAUACCGGAUAAGCUGCAGUGAUACUUUCAUUGCAGGAAUGGCUAGCCGCAAGGCCGGCGCCUUAGGAUGAGCUCAUGUCCUAUUAGCUAGUUGGCGGGGUAACGGCCUACCAAGGCAACGAUCUCUAACAGGUCUGAGAGGAUGACCUGUCACACUGGAACUGAGACACGGUCCAG
Molecule: ribosomal RNA, 205 nt
Filed under: uncultured bacterium
Lineage: Bacteria
Description: partial 16S ribosomal RNA
Rfam family: Bacterial small subunit ribosomal RNA
Source: RNAcentral